Molecule: long non-coding RNA, 1660 nt
Filed under: Cyanistes caeruleus (blue tit)
Lineage: Eukaryota; Metazoa; Chordata; Aves; Passeriformes; Paridae
Description: lncRNA (ENSCCEG00000008677.1)
Source: RNAcentral
GGGCCUGGCGGGCAGCGCUGGGUGCGGCAGCGCCGCCGCCGCCGCGUGUUCCUGUUUUUGUCCCUAAAUAGCUGACCUUGGGAGAGCCGCGGCCCCGCUGCGAGCUCCGCGCUGCCGCCCGCGCCGCCUUAUCUGCCGUUUGUUUAGCUGGGUGGGAAGCCGAGCCCCGCCUGCCCGGCCCGCCAGAAACUUCGGGGUUUUUCCACCAGCCCCGCUGGAUUUUCCCAGGCUCCUCGUAGCAAAGUGUCUCGAGGCACGGGGUAAUGCCCCGCUUUUAAAAUUGGUGUCUCCGGGGUGCGUUAGGGAGCGCGGUGCCGCGAACGCGAUCGGAGCUGGCUCCCAGCUACACCCAGAAUGCCGCAAGUUUAUGUGAAAAUGAAGUAAUCGUAGGUUCAGUGUAAAUUCCUGUCUUAAACCCCCCGCUUCAUGCUUUGAGUCUGAGUCACUUCAGCCAGACUACAGCUACCAUUGACAUACAGGCUAUGGAUGAGAUCCAGGAAAACAAGAUAUUUUGGGACUGCUGAAGGGCAUCUCAAGUUUGUAUUGCUUACUGACACUGCUGUGGCUGGGGUGCCUAAACCAGCUACCACAAUGAGGCAGCUCAUGGAAAAACUUUGCCAGAGUUUAAGUGAUCUGGCCAGCUCAAGGCUGCAGUUAUGAAGACAGCACAAGGGAAUAACAGUGAGUCCAGGGAAAUUCCAGUGUGUAAGGUAGGUAAACAAAAGCCAAAGAAUAUUAAAUCUGAUUUAUUUUGUUUAUCUGUUAGGACUUUUAUAAUUUGACUGUGCACAAGCUUUGCCUAGGUCUUCUUUUAUAGCAUCCAAAUAACUCACUAGUAUCAGUGCAUUUCCCAGGUGGGAAAGGAACAUUAUCUUCAGUUUAUGGAAGCGAAACUGAGAUGCAGGUUGGGUAAACUAGCUCCCCAAGGCUGCCUAUGAAAACUUGGGCUGGAACUUGGACUAUCAUCCCACUUGCUGCAAAAACUACUGAGCCAUCAUUCAUCAGUCUGAAUUUUCAGAGUAUUUUCCAAACAAAAGAAACGAAUGCAAACCUUGCUCUGUGAUGACCAAGAGAUAUUGUCUUCUUAGGCAACAGAUACUUGGUGGCCAUAGCAUACCAGUUUUUGUUGAGUAAAUUUCCAUGUAUAAUCACUGAGAAACUCUCUGUAGCAGAUCUGUGGAAUAUUAUAGUCCAGGAUCAAAACCAAACCUACUGCCAUUUGAAAGCGUCAUAUUAAGCAUUAGGCUUAUGUUUGUUAUGUGUUACCUAAAAUAUUAAUGAAGUAUUUAAUAGCUGUUAAACUAAAGCUAACAGGAGCAGUGAAGAAGAUACCCGGAUGUAUUACCCAGAAGAGCAAGGAGGAAAAUACUUCACGGAGAAAUAUUUCAGUAAGAGCCUAGAGGUGGUAGUUAAAAGCACUUAGAAACAAAAGAAUUUAAUCCAGAUAGAUGUACGGGGAAUGUAGCAUUUACCAAAAACUUGCUGAUAGUGUCUCCUUCAGUCAUCUCUGAACACCUGGAAUCUUUUCUUCUUAACUAGGAAGGAGAAGAGUAGCAGAUGUUUUUAUGCUUUAAGAGUUGUUGAAGAAACUAAAAAUACCUGAAAGAGAUAAUAAGUGUCCAUAGAUCCACAGAGAGAAGAAGCAGGAGUACAGGGACUA